RNAcentral lists this long non-coding RNA (289 nucleotides) under Coturnix japonica (Japanese quail). Its description in RNAcentral is "lncRNA (ENSCJPG00005010081.1)". The record is from RNAcentral. Lineage: Eukaryota; Metazoa; Chordata; Aves; Galliformes; Phasianidae.
UGCUGAAAAGCCAUGUCUCCUUUUCCUGAUGAACCUCCAAACCUCCAGUGCUACAAGUCAGUGAUGAAAUAACCAUCCUCUGUGUAAAGCUUUUAGUGCUGAAUGUGAAAAAAUUCUCCGGGCUGCCAGCAGGUGGGAUUCAUGAUCAAACAGGAUAUAGCAACUUGCACCUGGAUUGCAAGGUCUUGAUGGUAAAGUUAUACAUUACCCUAUGGGUACUUCUAGCUGUGUUACAGGAUUUCUCAUUCACUCUGUCCAGAACUGCUCAACUCCUGUGCUGAACUCCAUC